Papio anubis (olive baboon) is the source of this 107-nucleotide small nuclear RNA. Lineage: Eukaryota; Metazoa; Chordata; Mammalia; Primates; Cercopithecidae. The record is from Ensembl.
GUGUUCACUUCAGGAGCACAUAUACUAAAAUUGGAACAACACAGAGAAGAUUAGCAUGGUCCCUACACAAAGAUGACAUGCAAGUUCAUGAAGCAUUUCAUAGAACA